GGGCCGGUAGAUCAGUUGGUAGAUCGCCUCCUUGGCAGGGAGGAGGCCGGGGUUUAAAAUCCCCGCCGGUCCA
Molecule: transfer RNA, 73 nt
Filed under: Methanobacteriota archaeon
Lineage: Archaea; Methanobacteriati; Methanobacteriota
Description: Euryarchaeota archaeon (hot springs metagenome) tRNA-Ala
Rfam family: tRNA
About the family: Transfer RNA (tRNA) molecules are approximately 80 nucleotides in length. Their secondary structure includes four short double-helical elements and three loops (D, anti-codon, and T loops).
Source: RNAcentral